GCCAAAGAUCUUUGAAAGAUUGUUCCUGGCUGGCAGGCUGAGACUGAUGGGGCUUUUGAGUUUAGGGGUUCUGAUAUGCUGUGGUUUUAGUUGACAGGGUGUCCACAUUAAGUCCAGCAUUCAUAUGGUGAGCCUUGGGAACCAAGAGCUACCAGGUGGCCUAAGGAGGGGUGAAUUGGCCCCAUUCUGAAAUGGAGCAGGUCAAAGCUUCCAUGUCUCUCAGAGUGGGACCAGGCUCAUGAGUCACUCCUGUAUUUCCAGCCUGGCUAAGAGAGAGAUCCAGCCUUAAU
Molecule: signal recognition particle RNA, 290 nt
Filed under: Vombatus ursinus (common wombat)
Lineage: Eukaryota; Metazoa; Chordata; Mammalia; Diprotodontia; Vombatidae
Description: Metazoan signal recognition particle RNA (ENSVURG00010003042.1)
Rfam family: Metazoan signal recognition particle RNA
About the family: The signal recognition particle (SRP) is a universally conserved ribonucleoprotein. It is involved in the co-translational targeting of proteins to membranes. The eukaryotic SRP consists of a 300-nucleotide 7S RNA and six proteins: SRPs 72, 68, 54, 19, 14, and 9.
Source: RNAcentral